CACGUAGGGUGCGAGCGUUGUCCGGAAUUAUUGGGCGUAAAGAGCUCGUAGGCGGUCUGUCGCGUCGAAUGUGAAAACCCGGGGCUCAACUCCGGGCUUGCAUUCGAUACGGGCAGACUAGAGUUCGGUAGGGGAGACUGGAAUUCCUGGUGUAGCGGUGAAAUGCGCAGAUAUCAGGAGGAACACCGGUGGCGAAGGCGGAUCUCUGGGCCUUGCCUGACGCUGAGGCGCGAAAGCUGGGGGAGCGAACAGG
Molecule: ribosomal RNA, 253 nt
Filed under: uncultured bacterium
Lineage: Bacteria
Description: partial 16S ribosomal RNA
Rfam family: Bacterial small subunit ribosomal RNA
Source: RNAcentral